Molecule: transfer RNA, 76 nt
Filed under: Novipirellula galeiformis
Lineage: Bacteria; Pseudomonadati; Planctomycetota; Planctomycetia; Pirellulales; Pirellulaceae
Description: Planctomycetes bacterium Pla52o tRNA-Ala
Source: RNAcentral
UUUUGAUGUGGUGCUGGUUGAUGCACCGCCGCUACUUGCGGUGGCGGACCCGGCGAUCAUCGCGCCCAUCGUGGAC